This 301-nucleotide ribosomal RNA is filed under the name uncultured bacterium. RNAcentral's name for it is "partial 16S ribosomal RNA". It matches the Rfam family "Bacterial small subunit ribosomal RNA", at positions 509 to 807 of the family's 1533-position model. The record is from RNAcentral.
CAGUAGCCGCGGUAAUACGAAGGGGGCUAGCGUUGCUCGGAAUCACUGGGCGUAAAGGGUGCGUAGGCGGGUUUUUAAGUCAGAGGUGAAAUCCUGGAGCUCAACUCCAGAACUGCCUUUGAUACUGAAAGUCUUGAGUUCGGGAGAGGUGAGUGGAACUGCGAGUGUAGAGGUGAAAUUCGUAGAUAUUCGCAAGAACACCAGUGGCGAAGGCGGCUCACUGGCCCGAUACUGACGCUGAGGCACGAAAGCGUGGGGAGCAAACAGGAUUAGAUACCCCCGUAGUCCCUGUCUCUUAUAC